GUUUGCUGCUAUUGUUGCCCAGGGUUUUGCAAUGAAGUUCUCCAUAAUGAGUGUUGGGUUCAUUUUAUUUUCUUCAAGUUUACUUGGCAAUUGAAAUGGGCUGCAAAUUCAGAGGAAGGCUACUAACUUGUUGAUUAGCUUCUGAUAAUCUAUUGUCUAUUGAAUUUGGUGAUCAACUGCUGCCUUUUGUAAUUGGGAUCACCAUAACUAAUAACGUGAAUGGCCCUGAAGCUUUAGAAAUGAAACGUACUGCAUAUAAGUUUAGUUCUUGAAAUAUAUGCAGUACUCGUGAAUUUUAUAGAUAUCUAAUCAUUGAG
This 317-nucleotide unclassified non-coding RNA is filed under the name Hevea brasiliensis (rubber tree). Lineage: Eukaryota; Viridiplantae; Streptophyta; Magnoliopsida; Malpighiales; Euphorbiaceae. The record is from RNAcentral.